CUUCCAUGAUGAUAGUGGACUGAACCUCUGAAACUUUAAAAAAAUCACCGUAUACUGAGAAGCAGGUAUUCCAUCUGUUGGUCGCAAGGAUAAACACCCAAAUUCCCACAGCAUCCAGAUGAAGUUGUGUACUGUCCAAAGGAUGUUGAGCAAAGACAUUGGGAAGAAUUUGCCUGAAGAAAGGAAGAGACCUAAAAAUAGAUGUCUAAGGGGAUGACAUUGCCAUGUGCCAUUAAUACCUGAACUGCAUUUUAUUUUACAAAAGGCCUCAGGUACUCACAGAGCCCUACAGCAUGGAAUCAGUGUCUGAGAAACCAGGAAGAACUCUGACCAAAGCUAGGAUUUUGCCUGUGUCCUUCAUCACUGUGGGCUCCAAGAUACACUUUACUUGGCCUGUGAAAAACAGCUGAUUCAACCUGAAAAAAUGCAUGGACUUCCUCACUAUUGACUCUGGGUGGACUCCUCUUGCACUGGUGAAGUUCCAGCCUGGGUUACUCCUGUUUAGUCUUAAUACUGAAAUUCUAGAGAGUGGGUACCUAAUCUGGAAACUAGAACAAAGCUCUUGAUGGACUUGGAGAACUAGUUCAAUAUGUUACAUCCACAUUAUCCUAGAUCAGAUUGCCUGGUGGCACAAUGACCAAGCCUUCCCAUCCAUAGAAGACAUGCUUCAGGCAGUCCCCACAGGCCUCUUCCAGCUCUUUUAGAGAGAUCCUUAGGGGUGGCCUUGGUUUUCACUCUAAUUCAAAAUUUCUAUAGCCUUUGUCAGAGACUGGGGUUGUUGAAGGGUGGCUAUCUGUAAGUCUCCAGAAAAGUAUGAUGUGUCUGUCCUAUUAACAAUACAAUUUAAGUAAGCUGUUCGCCCAAAGUCUUGUGUCUUGCAUUAACCAUGUAUCUCUCACUUCAUAUUAAACAAGACACUCAAGUUUUCAUUCUGAAA
Mastomys coucha (southern multimammate mouse) is the source of this 937-nucleotide long non-coding RNA. RefSeq lists it as uncharacterized. The transcript is spliced from 5 exons. Lineage: Eukaryota; Metazoa; Chordata; Mammalia; Rodentia; Muridae. The record is from RefSeq and is a predicted model, not a curated record.